Molecule: non-coding RNA, 821 nt
Organism: Pelobates cultripes (western spadefoot toad)
Lineage: Eukaryota; Metazoa; Chordata; Amphibia; Anura; Pelobatidae
Source: the annotation of a GenBank genome assembly
GCCAAACGUGUGACAAGUUUUUGGGUUGUUUUUUUUUUUUGCUUUUUUUAUUUGGUUUGUUUUUUAGUAAUCUUGAUCUUUAGUUACAUUGUCACAGAAAGCAAAUGCACAAUUUAUCUGCUAUUGAAUCCGUCGCCUUAGAUCUUGAAAUGUAUUACACUUCAGAUAAACUAUCAGAUAUUUUUGCUUGAUAGGAUUCACCUUAAUUUUUCCAGUCUUACUCGAGUAUAAUUUUCACAGUGCCCCCUUCUGUUCUUUUCGUGGUGUUACCACAUGAACAAUUUUGUAAUCGACUGCAACAACUCUUGGUAUUAAUACAUUUUGGGCACCCAUAGGCCUAGACAUUCGCCUUUCUUUUAUUGAUCUUUCCUAUAUCCGGGUGAUAUAACAAUUACAUUUAAAAAAAAUUACUUUACAAAAAGAAUCUAUUAUCUGUUCCUUCAUAACCACUACACUGAUGCAGGUGCGAGUAGCAUUAUGUUCACUUAAACAAAAUUAUUGUCAACAUUCACACAAGUGAACGGAAUCACAAAACACUUACAUUUACAUGUUACUUUUGUGUCUCUCCUUGUGUUUUGUUUUCAAGUGAAUGGGAUGUUAUGUGUGUGUGCAAGUGACUCUAUUUUAAAAUAUGUGAGAAAAUGCUGUGCGUAGAGUUAUGGGAAAUCCACACGUAGUUGUUGAGAUUUAUUUUUUCCAACAACUAAAAGAUAAGCACAUUUUAAUUUUUUUUCCUGAUUUUAUUUUUCACAAUUCUUUGUUAGAUGCUCAGUUAUUGCUAAAGUGAGCAGUGUGCCCUUUGAGAGAGAUAAAGAUCAUAC